RNAcentral lists this ribosomal RNA (868 nucleotides) under uncultured archaeon. RNAcentral describes it as "bacterial SSU rRNA". It matches the Rfam family "Archaeal small subunit ribosomal RNA", at positions 1 to 878 of the family's 1478-position model. The record is from RNAcentral.
CUCCGGUUGAUCCUGCCGGACCUGACUGCUAUCGGAUUGGUACUAAGCCAUGCGAGUCGUUGUAGCAAUACAAGGCGGACGGCUCAGUAACACGUUGUCAACCUAACCUAUGGACGUGGAUAACCUCGGGAAACUGAGAAUAAACCGCGAUAGAUCAUUAUGCCUGGAAUGGCUUAUGGUUCAAACAAUUUAUUGCCGUAGGAUGGGACUGCGGCCUAUCAGCUUGUUGGUGAGGUAAUGGCCCACCAAGGCUAUAACAGGUACGGGCUCUGAGAGGAGAAGCCCGGAGAUGGGUACUGAGACACGGACCCAGGCCCUAUGGGGCGCAGCAGGCGAGAAACCUUAGCAAUGUGCGAAAGCACGACUAGGUUAAUCCGAGUGAUUUCUGUUGAAGAAAUCUUUUGUCAGUCGUAAAACCACAGACGAAUAAGGGGUGGGCAAGUCUGGUGUCAGCCGCCGCGGUAAUACCAGCACCUCGAGUGGUCAGGAGGUUUAUUGGGCCUAAAGCAUCCGUAGCCGGCUACGCAAGUCUCCGGUUAAAUCCAGCUGCUCAACAGAUGGGCUGCCGGAGAUACUACAUAGCUAGGGAGCGGGAGAGGUAGACGGUAUUCUGUGGGUAGGGGUAAAAUCCACUGAUCCAUAGAGGACCACCAGUGGCGAAGGCGGUCUACCAGAACGCGUUCGACGGUGAGGGAUGAAAGCUGGGGGAGCAAACCGGAUUAGAUACCCGGGUAGUCCCAGCUGUAAACGAUGCAAACUCGGUGAUGCAUUGGCUUAUGGCCAAUGCAGUGCCGCAGGGAAGCCGUUAAGUUUGCCGCCUGGGAAGUACGGACGCAAGUCUGAAACUUAAAGAAUUGGCGGGGGAGCA